UUUUUUUUUAAAAAAAAAAUUAUUUAUUUUUUAACCAGGUCAAAGCAUUACAUACUGCAGAAGAGAAAGCAACUUCAACUUCUCUUAAACGGUGUCAUUUUCAUGACAGCUCGUAAAUUUUAGCCCCCUAUGGGUCCAUGGUCUGCGCGCAUCCGCCCGGGGAGUUGUUGGUGGAUCCAUCCCUCAUGGCGCAGUAGCAAGGGGAUCCUUUAGAAAAAGCAAUGGGCGAAGUAACUGAAAGAGCCACGCAGAAAGCAACAGCCAGAAACGGCGGGGACGCGAGCGGCCCAGACAGGAAGGGAGGCGGUGGCGCAGCUCUGGUGCGCAGUGCGCCGCAGCGACGGAACUUCUGCAAAAGCUGCCUGCCCGCGCGUUAUCAGCGGCGCGCAGGCCUGUGGUUUUCUCGCUCUCGCAACCCUGCUUUAACUGCCGGUUUAUUUUUCGACAAACAGGAUGCCUCCAUCUGAGGCUGUCAGCAUCCCAGGCUCUUUGAAAGAAAAGAGGUAGAGCGGCCCCACCCUAGAGGCAAGGACCGGGGUCUGUGUCAAGAGGCUUCCCAGAGAAGUGAAAACUCUGCAGGUGCAGCCGCUGGGACAGCAUCAAGAAGGGCAGGGUGGAGGGGCAGGGGGCGACGGGAGGGGGUGAAGCCCGCACCCUACCCCCACAUGAAACUGAUUCCACUGCCCCAUCUCUGCAAGUGUUCUGAGGCAGAGAGGCCAACAUUUCGGGGACAGCUUGGAGGCGGGAGAUUUAGGACAGGGCUCCUUAAACUUUAAUGUGUAUGAAAAUCAGGCAAAUCACGGGGCUCUUGAACAAAUGGGGACGAUGAUUCAGCAGGUCUGGGCUGGGGCCUAAGAGUCUGCACUUCUAACAAGUUCCCAGGUGGUGGUGAUGCUGCCAGUCCAAAGACCACAUUGUGAAUAGCAAGGCGUCGAGACAGUCUGCUUUAGAGUAAAACCUAAUAGAUGUGCAAAUAUUUAAACCAAGCUGUAUUUAUUCCUGAGGCCCUGGUUUAACAGGAGCCACCUUGCUAAUGGAAAAUGGAAAAUGAAAUUCCUUUAGGUUCCAAAGGGAAGGAACGUUUGAAAUGGUUAAGGUAUUAAAAAAAUCCCAGCUGGGAGUGGCCUUGGGGAUUCAGGAGAGUUUAGGUUAGGUUCUGAGCCAAGAGAUGGGGGAGGAAGGGUGAGAUGUGGCAAAUAAAUGUAAACACACACACAAAAACCCCAGCCCGACCACAGGUUCUUUCCUAUCAAUGAAACAUUUGCAACUUGCAGGUACAACUCACACGUGUCCACAUUUUUCAGAAGUUGGAUAGUUUUGUGUAAUGGUACAGAAUCUGGAGCCCAUAUUUGAAUAUUCUACACCCAAUGUGAUCUCAGACUGGCUUUAAGAUCUUGUGGCCUACAUUUAAAAAUGUAUGUUUUUGAGUCAUGUUUAAUUAGUAAUAGUAUCUGAGAACUGAGAGACUAAGAAAUCCAUGGUAUGUGAAUAAAAUCUCCAGACAGUAGCUAGAACACAGAGAUCCCUCCAGAGGCAGUGCUAGUGGUCAGCUGUAAAAAUAGGUUCUGCUCAGUUUUGCUUAGGCCUGAAGUUUCCUGAAGAUUUCAUUUAGACUUCAUCAAAACCAGUCAAAGACUUCCUGUUACAGAAAGGUUCUCAAAGUAUGGCUGGGACUACAGGGCUAUUAAGAUGCAGAUUCUUGGGCCUCUCUGCCUGACUCAUCAUGGUUUCUCAGGGUGGGUGCCAGGAACCUACAUUUUAACAAACGCUGUGAGGAUUCUUAUGUACUGCCAAGUUUAGGAGCCCCUGGUCUGCAGGUUUAAGUUCAGCCUUCUCACUGCAGCAUUCAAAGACCUGACUUCAAUUUUGCUAUUCACAGGCGAGCCUCAGUGACUUCUUUACUGCCCCUGAGCAUUCCUGGAGCCACCUGGCUGCCUCAUUCAUUUCUUCUCCUUUGUCUUCCCCAGCCCUGGAAUAAAAUGACUUCCAUCUUCCUCUCCGAACCCUCUUCAGAUCACGGCUUCCCAUUCAGCAAGCAGUUACUUUCCUGGUCCACCACUGCUGUGGUAUUGAUGAUAGCCUACUCAAUUCUCAUUUUGUUGACUGAAUAUUUCUCAUGCUUAGGCUUUGCCUCCCUGACCAGACAGUAAGUUCUCUGAAACCAUUUCAUGCUAUAUAAUCUUUAUGGUCAAGACUGCUUUCUAACACAGUGUCACGUCCACAUGGAUCAUUCAGUAAAUUUACUGAUGGCUUAUCUAUCACCAACAUGUUUUACAGAGUGUUAUUAAGCAGGGACACUCUCUGUGGGUCUAGAAUCAGAAGAAGCUGGGAAGGGAAAUGGGGUAGUGGUGAGAGUGUCAUGAGAAUCUGGUUAUACGGUCAUCAAAGACACAGAGGAAGUGGGAAAAAGGGAACGUAGACCCCCCGCUCAUCUGUCUGCAGUGUGAAUUGGAGAGGAUGUUCCUUUUUGUUUAAUAUAGUUAAUUUUUCACUUGAAAUUGAGGUCACCAAACCUAUGAACCAGACAAUGGAUGCUUGCCCUUCACUCUCACUGCCUAGUGAUGGAGCUCUUGGUGGCUUCUCUCCGCUCUGGCUGGCUUCCCUUCUUCCUUUCUGCCUGAUGGGUUGUCAACUCAAACGCCCAACUCUCAGCUCAAGUUAAAGGAAAUUUCAAGUGUAUUACAUAUAAUGAAGCAGAUUGAAAGCACGGUAGUAUACUAGUAAGUUAGCUUAACAUGGUUUAGUGGAAAGCAAUCAAUACACCUCAGUUCUGAUCCUGACACAGCUAGCAUCAUUGGCCACGUCACCUUGGUUUUCUUGCUUAGCCUUUCUGAGCUUCAGAAUUUUUGUUAUCUAAACUCUGAGCCUGAGCCUCAUUGUUUUCAUUAACAGAACCAGCAUAACAAUGUUGGCUUCUAAGGCAUUGGGCAGGUGAGUGGGGUAGGAAUGGAGACCACCUGAGAGAGCCUGGCACACAGUUGGUGCUGGCAACCUACAGGGCCCCAGCCCUUGGCGAGGUUUCUUUUUGGAGAAAUGCUUCCUAGUGUUCCUAGCCAUUCCCUGCCUUAGGCACCUUCACUACCUUCCCAGUCACAGGCCUACUGCUCUUCCUGGUCCAGCUUGCUGGUCCUAGUGCUUAGCUUCUCUCUUAAGGGGAUCUUUUGACCUCUGUAGGAAUUUCUUCCCUCUUGGGCUUCAGGCAUAUUUCUAUUGGUCACCUGGCACCCUCCUCACCACUUCAGUGGUGCCCCCAACUCUGCUUCUAGGACUCUGGCAAGUUCUACUCUCCUCUCCUCAACCUUUAACCUGUGAUAUGGUAGGUCUGUCUCCAGCCCUGACUCUUUAGGCUGGGUUCUCUUGUGCUCUGUCAGUCUUCUUCCUUUUCCUCUGACACUCAAAAUCCGUAGAGAGUCUUCAUACCGUAGAUUUAAGGUGAUAGCUUCCUCCUUCGAAUGAUACAGCAAUUAGUAUCCCCUUUUAUCAUGCUAAGUUACCCAUCAUAGAUACCGGACCAUGAAAGGCCUUGAAGAUCCCCAAGUGAUUAUGGCCACCUUAGCUUCUCAGGCCCUUCAGAUCCUCUGUCUCCUAUUUGACAUGUACUUGUGUUCUGCUCUGAAGACCUGCACAAUUGCUUUCCCAUUUUUUUUUGCUGUUGUUGGUGGUGGUGGCGGGGGGUGGGGGGUACUUUCCAGAAAGUAAAACACCAAAAGUAGAAGGACAGAAACACAUCUCUACAACCACGAUCCUGGUCAUAGUACGAGGUUGCAUUUGUCAGCCUUGUCACGAUCACAUUUCUGUUCCGUGCAUUGUGGGCUGUUUGGUAGCAUCUUUGGCAUCUGCCUACUGGAUGCUAGUACAGUCCCCUCUACCCCCUGAGUUGUGACAACUAGAAAUGUCUCCAGACUGUGCCAAAUGACCCCCUUCCUCCUCACACUGCCUCCUUCUUCCAGUUAAAACCACUGGUGAGGCCGGGCGCGGUGGCUCUCGUCUGUAAUCCCAGCACUUUGGGAGGCUGAGGCGGGCAGGUCACAAGGUCAGAAGAUCGAGACCAUCCUGGCUAACACGGUGAAACCCUGUCUCUACUAAAAAUACAAAAAAUUAGCCAGGAGCGGUGGCGGGUGCCUGUAGUCCCAGCUACUCGGAGGCUGAGGCAGGAGAAUGGCGUGAACCCGGGAGGCAGAGCUUGCAGUGAGCCAAGAUCGUGCCACUGCACUCCAGCCUGGGCGACAGAGUGAGACUCUGUCUCAAAAAAA
Macaca fascicularis (crab-eating macaque) is the source of this 4253-nucleotide long non-coding RNA. The record is from Ensembl. NCBI's taxonomy places the organism in Eukaryota, Metazoa, Chordata, Mammalia, Primates, Cercopithecidae.